AUUACAUGGGGCAAGGUUCGGAACGAGCUUCCGUUAAUUGAUUAUGACGUACUUGUACUGAUUGAGAUUUUAACACGAAGUGAGUGGCGAACGGGUGAGUAACACGUGGGUAACCUGCCCAGAAGUAGGGGAUAACACCUGGAAACAGAUGCUAAUACCGUAUAACAGAGAAAACCGCAUGGUUUUCUUUUAAAAGAUGGCUCUGCUAUCACUUCUGGAUGGACCCGCGGCGUAUUAGCUAGUUGGUGAGGUAAAGGCUCACCAAGGCAGUGAUACGUAGCCGACCUGAGAGGGUAAUCGGCCACAUUGGGACUGAGACACGGCCCAGACUCCUACGGGAGGCAGCAGUAGGGAAUCUUCCACAAUGGACGCAAGUCUGAUGGAGCAACGCCGCGUGAGUGAAGAAGGGUUUCGGCUCGUAAAGCUCUGUUGUUAAAGAAGAACGUGGGUAAGAGUAACUGUUUACCCAGUGACGGUAUUUAACCAGAAAGCCACGGCUAACUACGUGCCAGCAGCCGCGGUAAUACGUAGGUGGCAAGCGUUAUCCGGAUUUAUUGGGCGUAAAGCGAGCGCAGGCGGUCUUUUAAGUCUAAUGUGAAAGCCUUCGGCUCAACCGAAGAAGUGCAUUGGAAACUGGGAGACUUGAGUGCAGAAGAGGACAGUGGAACUCCAUGUGUAGCGGUGAAAUGCGUAGAUAUAUGGAAGAACACCAGUGGCGAAGGCGGCUGUCUGGUCUGCAACUGACGCUGAGGCUCGAAAGCAUGGGUAGCGAACAGGAUUAGAUACCCUGGUAGUCCAUGCCGUAAACGAUGAUUACUAAGUGUUGGAGGGUUUCCGCCCUUCAGUGCUGCAGCUAACGCAUUAAGUAAUCCGCCUGGGGAGUACGACCGCAAGGUUGAAACUCAAAAGAAUUGACGGGGGCCCGCACAAGCGGUGGAGCAUGUGGUUUAAUUCGAAGCUACGCGAAGAACCUUACCAGGUCUUGACAUCUUCUGACAGUCUAAGAGAUUAGAGGUUCCCUUCGGGGACAGAAUGACAGGUGGUGCAUGGUUGUCGUCAGCUCGUGUCGUGAGAUGUUGGGUUAAGUCCCGCAACGAGCGCAACCCUUAUUACUAGUUGCCAGCAUUAAGUUGGGCACUCUAGUGAGACUGCCGGUGACAAACCGGAGGAAGGUGGGGACGACGUCAAAUCAUCAUGCCCCUUAUGACCUGGGCUACACACGUGCUACAAUGGAUGGUACAACGAGUCGCGAGACCGCGAGGUUAAGCUAAUCUCUUAAAACCAUUCUCAGUUCGGACUGUAGGCUGCAACUCGCCUACACGAAGUCGGAAUCGCUAGUAAUCGCGGAUCAGCAUGCCGCGGUGAAUACGUUCCCGGGCCUUGUACACACCGCCCGUCACACCAUGAGAAGUUUGUAACACCCAAAGCCGGUGGGGUAACCUUUUAAGGAGGUUUAACCCAG
Molecule: ribosomal RNA, 1462 nt
Filed under: Pediococcus pentosaceus
Lineage: Bacteria; Bacillati; Bacillota; Bacilli; Lactobacillales; Lactobacillaceae
Description: bacterial SSU rRNA
Rfam family: Bacterial small subunit ribosomal RNA
Source: RNAcentral